AUCGGUACGGGUUGUGGGAGCAAGAGCCCGGAGAUGGAUUCUGAGACACGAAUCCAGGCCCUACGGGGCGCAGCAGGCGCGAAAACUUUACAAUGCGAGAAAUCGUGAUAAGGGAACCCCGAGUGCCCGUAAAUUCGGGCUGUCCAUCAGUGCAAAAAACUGGUGAAGAAAGAGCCGGGCAAGACCGGUGCCAGCCGCCGCGGUAAUACCGGCGGCUCGAGUGGUGGCCACUAUUACUGGGCUUAAAGCGUCCGUAGCUUGGUUGUUAAGUCUUCUGGGAAAUCCAUCGGCUUAACCGAUGGGAGUUCAGGAGAUACUGGCAACCUAGGGACCGGGAGAGGUGAGAGGUACUCCAGGGGUAGGAGUGAAAUCCUGUAAUCCUUGGGGGACCACCUGUGGCGAAGGCGUCUCACUAGAACGGCUCCGACAGUGAGGGACGAAAGCUGGGGGAGCAAACCGGAUUAGAUACCCGGGUAGUCCCAGCUGUAAACUAUGCGCGUUAGGUG
Molecule: ribosomal RNA, 506 nt
Filed under: uncultured Methanomicrobiales archaeon
Lineage: Archaea; Methanobacteriati; Methanobacteriota; Methanomicrobia; Methanomicrobiales
Description: bacterial SSU rRNA
Rfam family: Archaeal small subunit ribosomal RNA
Source: RNAcentral